GACGGUGGCGUAAAGGUAUUGUCCGAUGCUCGGAACGCUGAGCUUCAGGGUUCGAAUCCCGGUUCGUCC
RNAcentral lists this transfer RNA (69 nucleotides) under Anguilla anguilla (European eel). RNAcentral describes it as "tRNA-OTHER". The record is from RNAcentral. Lineage: Eukaryota; Metazoa; Chordata; Actinopteri; Anguilliformes; Anguillidae.